This is a long non-coding RNA of Esox lucius (northern pike), 425 nucleotides long. RefSeq lists it as uncharacterized. The transcript has 3 exons. The record is from RefSeq and is a predicted model, not a curated record. NCBI's taxonomy places the organism in Eukaryota, Metazoa, Chordata, Actinopteri, Esociformes, Esocidae.
GGGUUUUCCACUGAUUCUCGAAAUCCUUUAGUUGAAGUUCCCAUUAGCCAUGCAAAACGCCUUUUACACACGAGCUGUCUAUUCAGAACUUCUAAAAGAGAAUCCUGAGCAUCAUAGAAGAUCCUGCCACAGAAAUCCUCACCUCUAAGCAAAGGCACUGAGGAUUUUAGCAUCAACAACAGCAAGCAGCACAAAGACCCUGGACUACAGCUAUGGUUUUACAUGACCAGGGCAAUGAAGCAGGCUAGACUAUGGCUGGACUCCACCCCAGCGGUCAGCCACUGUUUUUAAAUGUUUUUGGAUGACGGAGGGCAUUACAGAUCAAUGAUGAACCAAAACGUCCACCACCUGAACACCUGUCUGUGCUGUAGCCUUCAGCAAUCAGCCAUCUGUCCAAGCGACUAAAAAGACUAUACUAACCACAU